This 492-nucleotide ribosomal RNA is filed under the name uncultured bacterium. RNAcentral describes it as "partial 16S ribosomal RNA". It matches the Rfam family "Bacterial small subunit ribosomal RNA", at positions 29 to 507 of the family's 1533-position model. The record is from RNAcentral.
AGUGAACACUGGCGGUAGGCCUAACACAUGCAAGUCGAACGGCAGCACAGUAAGAGCUUGCUCUUACGGGAGGCGAGGGGCGGACGGGUGAGGAAUACAUCGGAAUCUACUUUUUCGUGGGGGAAAACGUAGGGAAACUUACGCUAAUACCGCAAACGACCUACGGGUGAAAGCAGGGGAUCUUCGGACCUUGCGCGAUUGAAUGAGCCGAUGUCGGAUUAGCUAGUUGGCGGGGUAAAGGCCCACCAAGGCGACGAUCCGUAGCUGGUCUGAGAGGAUGAUCAGCCACACUGGAACUGAGACACGGUCCAGACUCCUACGGGAGGCAGCAGUGGGGAAUAUUGGACAAUGGGCGCAAGCCUGAUCCAGCCAUACCGCGUGGGUGAAGAAGGCCUUCGGGUUGUAAAGCCCUUUUGUUGGGAAAGAAAAGCAGCAGGUUAAUACCCCGCUGUUCUGACGGUACCCAAAGAAUAAGCACCGGCUAACUUCGUG